RNAcentral lists this ribosomal RNA (450 nucleotides) under uncultured archaeon. Its description in RNAcentral is "bacterial SSU rRNA". It matches the Rfam family "Archaeal small subunit ribosomal RNA", at positions 403 to 852 of the family's 1478-position model. The record is from RNAcentral.
AAGGCUGUCGUUAUGUCUAAAAACAUGAUAUAGCAAGGGCCGGGCAAGACCGGUGCCAGCCGCCGCGGUAACACCGGCGGCUCGAGUGGUAACCGUUAUUAUUGGGUUUAAAGGGUCUGUAGCCGGCCGGAUAGGUCUCUUGGGAAAUCUGGCAGCUUAACUGUCAGGCUUUCAGGAGAUACUGUUCGGCUCGAGACCGGGAGAGGUGAGAGGUACUUCAGGGGUAGGGGUGAAAUCUUGUAAUCCUUGAAGGACCACCAGUGGCGAAGGCGUCUCACCAGAACGGAUCUGACGGCAAGGGACGAAAGCUAGGGGCACGAACCGGAUUAGAUACCCGGGUAGUCCUAGCCGUAAAUAAUACUCGCUAGGUGUCGGCCACGGUGCGACCGUGGUCGGUGCCGUAGGGAAACCGUGAAGCGAGCCACCUGGGAAGUACGGCCGCAAGGCUGA